RNA transcript from Pomacea canaliculata, 3850 nucleotides. RefSeq lists it as uncharacterized. NCBI's taxonomy places the organism in Eukaryota, Metazoa, Mollusca, Gastropoda, Architaenioglossa, Ampullariidae. The transcript is spliced from 3 exons. The record is from RefSeq and is a predicted model, not a curated record.
UUUUGGAUUUACUUGUGGAUUUACUUGUGGAUUUUCUUUGGGAUAUAACUUCAAGAAGAAGUGGAAACUUUGUGUACUUUUCAUGUGGAUAUAUGGUGUAUCUUAGACGCGGAAACAUUGUGUUGUUUCAAGUGAGACUUUGAGAGGAACUGUGCAAGAAGAAUGAAUACUUUUGAAAUUGUUGGAAGAAAUGUGUGUUUGAACUGUGGGGUUGGGGAAUUAGGAAUUGUUUUGUGUUGUGUUUCUCAUUUUGAUUUUUAAAUUAUAUUAUAUUUUUAAAAUUUAAAUUGUUGUCUAUGUUUUGAUUUGAUUUAAUUUCCUCAUCUGAAAGGCACUGCAGAGUGCAGGUGACAGAGAGGGAAGAAGAAUAUGAAAAAAGGAUCAUAUAUCGACAACGACAACGACGUGGCUCUAACUCAGGAGUGGUUCUCAAACCGGCGGGCGAAGUGACUGCAGGAAAACAAGAGAAACCCUCUCUCCUCCAAGCUAAAGAUUGUAGCAGUGGCAGCGGCAGUGUCAGUUAUAAUACUGAUUGCUGCUGUCCUGCUACAAAUAGAAUGGUAGGCAUAUAGUUCUCGUCUUUAUCAGUCAUCCUGACAACUGUCUUGCUAAUCUCUUUGUCUACAUAUUGAUGUUGGGGAAAUUUCCGAACUGAUUGUUUGCUUUAAAGAACUCUGCCUAAGCCCCCAACUACUAGACUUUUCAUGUAGACAUUGCUUAAUACAGCAAAUCUUACUGCAAGCAUCUCAGUGUGGUUCACUUUAUUAGGUGUGUCUAUUAUUAUUUUACAAACACACCUGAUGGGAAAUCCCCGUAAUGACACUUCACUACAUCCACGAGUUCAUCAUAACCAGCAAGGCAAGCUUUUCUGGCUCACUAGCCACACAGGCCUUGCAGCUUCAACUUGUCAGAAAUACUGACAAACAUAUAUUGAGUAAGUAGGAGCAAAUUAUUGUUGUAUCUUUUUCAAUUGAAAAUAAGUAGCUUGUCAAAAAGGCAUCCCCAUGGCCCAUGUCGUUUCAUAAGUUACAACUCCUGUUGUUUGUGGUCUGCCCGGUAGACAAUAUUAGGAGACAACAGAAAAAUGAAGUUAUGGAGUUUAAGCGAGGUGAUCGAUGAUUAAAAUAGUCAUCUCUUAAAAAUAAAAAAGAGAGAAUGACUGAAUGACUAACUGGCAUCAUUUCAGGAUGCAAGACGUCAUAAAUGCAUUCAGAAGACAAGCUCAAGCUCUGGCCACAUGGAGCUACAUAAUGUAUGUUAUGAGUUAGAAAAUAGAUAUUGAUGUUUAAAUCAUGUUUGAUCAAAAUUUCGGACUACGAAACGAAUUUUUUCUUUGCAAACGCAUCUACAGCACAGCUUCGUGGCGACUCAUGCAGGAUCCCAUUUGACUCGUUGACAGGUGUUAACAGCUAUAACGGGAUGAAUCUUUUAUCACGUGUUCACAGACCUGACAAAGACGCAGAGCAGCAACUCGCGUCGUGUGGGCUCGGCAGAGCGCACGUGGCUAAUUAGCAUGCACGAUCGUGCUUGAAAGCUUUUAAUCGGUCACAAGUGGAUGAACACAUGAGAGGGGAAACACGCAUACCCAAAGAGAAAUGGUGCCCCUUCUUACCAUGCAUGACAAAAGUGCGCAUGCGUGUGACUGAACGAGUGUCUUUAAGUGUAAGUGGCAUCUAAUUACAUCUCAUUCAUCGACACACACAUUCUGACGGCUUGUCUGCCCCUGCUUGUUGCAGAAAACACCACUCCCGACGACAACAUGGAGCCUCAUCUCAUCCAGCGGACAAGGUAUCGCGGCUAUCAGCUGAAGCUGCUGGAGGGCGAGUUCUCUCGGAACACCCGCACCUCGUGGGAUGUCAUAGAAGAACUCGCCCGAGAGACGGGGCUAACGGAAGACCAAGUGCGGGUAAGCACAGUAAACCGGUUAAAAGACUAGUCCACUAGUUGUUAAGUAAACAGCCCUGACUUCAGUCUUGUUGACCUCCUUCUAUGCAUGAUGAAUAUAUGUGUUAAUCAUAUAUCGACAACGACAACGACGACGACUAUUGCGAACGACUCAAAGAGACACCUGUUAACAAUGUGCGCUGUGUUUCUACUUUCCUGGAGUGGUUUAAAAAUCAGAGAAGAAAGUUGAAGCAGGCGCCUUCCCUCCAAUCAUCAGCAUCACCAUCAGCAUCACCAUCAGCACGAUCAUCGUCAGCAUCAUCAUUACCACAUACAGCGCAUGCGUCGUCGUCAUCAUCAUCAAACAACGACGAUACACCUCCAGUAUUCAUCAUCAAUCAGAGAAAUUAUAGAAUCCUCUAUCAGACAUUAAUAUAUCACCAAUCAACAAACAUGAUCAUUAUCCUCAUCGUCGUCGUUGGCGGCGGCGGCGGCGGCGGCGGCGUCGUCUUCAUCAUCAUCAAUUAUCAGAAUUCACGAUCAACCAUCAUCGCAAAUUAUCAAUCAGCAUCAUCAUCAUCAUCAUGCAUGAUACCAGUGUCUCGUCAAUGCCUCGGGACAAGAGCAUGCCAGGAGGCAAGAAAUAUUGAACACCAUAUUUCGGCUUCUGACUGAUCUUGUGGUUCAGAUAGAACAACUGCUAGAAGAAGGAAAAGAGAGGGUGAAUGGACAACAAUCAGUCGCGACAAAUAUUGGAACGAAUGGCGGCUCAUUUGGGGGUUCCGUUGCCCCCUCAACUUGCCCCGCCACUUCUCCAGUUGGCAGAACCACGUGAGUACUUUAACAGGCCAGGUUCAUUAUUGUUAGGUUAAGCAUUCUCUCUCUCUCUCACACACACACAGAGGUACCUAAAUGCCCAUCGCUUACGAGUUGCUGUCAACUCUGCUAAUGAAGUCAAACUCUAAAAGACUCUAGACCUUUCUAGUUUGUGCCUUGAGGUCACUGUCAUGAAUCUUGCCUUUGCUCUGAGUAGAGUUUUCUAGAAGGGAAAAUUAGGAACCGUAGACUUGUUCACUCAAUAAUGAGAGUUGCUGUCUCAAAAGUAGCAGCUCGCCAGUUCACAUCCGCGGUUUCCACGAUUAAAAUGCAACAAAGACAGUUCUUGCUUUUACCACCUGUGGCUAUCGCCCCUGUUGGCCUCGCAGAAAGACAGAAAAGCAGGUUAGACGUCUUUCUAUCAUCAAGUAAUCGUCAAGUUCCGCUUCUUUCUUUGUGGGAAGUAGUAAUUACAUUUCUCUCCUGAUUGUGUGAGGGAUUAGGAGUGAAUAUUUUGUUCUUUUUAGGAUCACUUUUCUGCCCUUAUGAUUUUAAGAAAACUUUGGGCUGAUUGGUAUAUGUAUUGUACCACUAGUAUUGUUUGACCUUAUUUAUGUAUGACAACAUAUUUUCCCUAAAACUGAUUUGUUUCCAUACGCUUCAUUAUAACACAGGGGAGAACUCCCACGCAUUUUUGUGGAUUCUGGGCAUUAAUUUUUUGUUAAAAAUUGUUUGCAAUAAGUCUUAUUUUAUGACAAUGUACAUUAUUAUUUUUCUUAUUAUUAUUAUUGGUGAUUAUUCUGAAUUUCUUUAUCAGAAACCCUCAUAAAGCCAGUAACUAAGGCUCUAACGUCAUAGAGGAACCAAUUGUGUAAAUAGUUGAAGCAUGCAGAAAAUGAAAACAGCAUGCCUGGGUAGUCUUUAAUUCUUUAAGUGGCGUUUUAUUACAUCUUAUUCAUCGACACACACAUUCUGACGGCUUGUCUGCCCCUGCUUGUUGUAGAAAACGACACCACCACUCCCGACGACAACACGCAGCCUCGUCGAGCCCCGCGGGCAAGACUGCUCGAUGAGCAGCUGAUACUGCUGGAGAUGGAGUUACAGCAAAACCAACACCCCUCAGCGGCUGUCCGCGAGGAGAUCGCCACAU